AAAGGAAUUGACGGGCACCCGCACAAGCGGUGGAGCAUGCUGUUUAAUUCGAAGAUACGCGAAGAACCUUACCUAGACUUGACAUCCCGGGCAAAGCUAUAGAAAUAUAGUGGAGGUUAUCCCGGUGACAGGUGGUGCAUGGUUGUCGUCAGCUCGUGUCGUGAGAUGUUCGGUUAAGUCCGCUAACGAGCGCAACCCUUGUCUUUAGUUGCUAACAUUAAGUUGAGAACCCUAAAGAGACUGCCGGUGAUAAACCGGAGGAAGGUGGGGAUGACGUCAAAUCAUCAUGCCCCUUACGUCUAGGGCUACAGGCGUGCUAUAAUGGCCGAUACAAAGAGAAGCGAACCAGUGAUGGGGAGCAAAGCUAUAAAGUCGGUCUCAGUUCGGAUUGAAGUCUGCAACUCGACUUCAUGAAGUUAGAAUCGCUAGUAAUCCUGAAUCAGAAUGUCAGGGUGAAUACGUUCCCGGGUGUUGUACACACCGCCCGU
RNAcentral lists this ribosomal RNA (488 nucleotides) under uncultured bacterium. RNAcentral describes it as "bacterial SSU rRNA". It matches the Rfam family "Bacterial small subunit ribosomal RNA", at positions 903 to 1397 of the family's 1533-position model. The record is from RNAcentral.